GUGAAGUCUAAGUACGAAGUAGUACUACUAGUAGGACUGUGAUUAAACUUCCUUGUUACUUAUAUCAGAUUCAUAUAGAAACAGCUGAACAUGUCACAGAGCCCUUACCAAGUAUAGAAACGGUUUGUAAGAAACCAGUUGUCUUGUACAGAAAAAUGAGAAGACAGAAAAAUAUCUCUAGUUGCUGUCACUUUGGAAGUGAAUAUGAAAUGAAAAAUAUCAUUUGAAGUUGUGGAAAUUCAGAUGAAGCCAAUAACCAUUGUUUGUGAAAUCAGUAGGACCUGUUGUAAACCAGCCAAGUGUAGGAGAUAAAUCGAUAUAAUAAUCCAGUUCAUUUUGAAAUAACAGCAUGUUUAUUUGUAAUAGUAUACUUUUGUUUUUUAAUGUUAAUUGAAUUUAUUUACACAGUAUGGGUACUCUUAUAUGAAACAAAUAUUCACAUUAACAUGUGUAUAAUUAUUGUACAUUUAAGAGGCAAAUACCCAAUAGAACAUGGGAAUUUGUAGAUACAAAGAUAAUAUUUUUUAACCUAUUCUGUGAUGACAAUUCUUUCUGCAUCUUUUAGUAAUUAGGAAACAAUUGAAGUAAAAGAAAAUUGCAUAUGUUUUUAGAUGAAUUUAAAUUUACUGCACCAUUGUGCAUUCAAUUAUUUUGAAACAUAUAGUUGGAAAAAAAAAAAGUCAAUUUUCAAUUUUUUGUAGUGUGGUCAAAUAUGCUCCAAUUAAUCAUUUUAUUUCUUUAUGUAGCUUUAUUUUGAAGUAACCAUAUUUGAUACAUUUUCCCAUGACACUAAAUGGAUAUCAAAUGCCAUUUAUCUAGUUUUAUCUGGUCAGUACACAUACAUCUCUUAGAGUUGAGCUUUGACACCUUAGUAAUACUGAAGAUGGUCUAAUUUUCACAAGUGCUUGGGUUUUCAUGUUUAUUGUUUUUAUAAGUUACAUUUUUUUUCUUGUACAGAUUUUUAAUUUGAUUAACUAUUGAUGCUGGAAUAGAUGUUAUUCUUGAGUAGAAUUGUUAUGUUGAACUUGCAGUUUGUUUCAGUUUUAGGCACACCAGUUUUUUUGGCUACACCACACACUAAUUACAUAGUCUGUAAAUGUUUCAUCCAUUAGGUUUGUCAAACAGUUUUGGAUACCCUGUAAGCUGUUUGAGUAUGUGGGUUGGAUAACUGGCCAAGAAUGUUCUCCUUACUUUAGUGUCAGUGAUGAUAUCAUUCUUACUUGUAAUUGUUUUGCAGAAAUCUUAAAAUUUCACAUCGUGAAGAUUAUCCUUUCUUAAUGUUAAUUCUGAUAAAAAUGUAAAUAUCUUAAUUUACUGGUGGCAUUUUAUGAUAUACAGGAACUUUGCAUUGAUAAUCAACACAUUUGUGAAUACAAAAUAUAUAUAUUUUUUAAUUAUCUGGAAAGCUCUUGAUAACAAGAGAAUUGAAUUAGAGGAUACUAUCUUUAACUGCAGCUUGCUGUUUUCAUUAUUAAUUUAGAGAUUAAGUUUCUGAGAAAUCACCAUUUAUUUGUAGAAAAAAAAAUGUAGAUUUGACAAAAUACUCUUCCAACCUUAUUAUUGCCAUUAGGAUAAAUUGAUGCCUUCAUGAUGGAAUAAUGAAUAUUGACUACUACUACUACUAGUUAAAUUACUUUAAAUAAUUUGUUAAUAUAAAUAGUCUGAGUUUAAAGGACUAUAAUGCUAAAAACUGGAUUUCAAUACCUGUGGUGGGAACAGCAUAGAUAGCCAAUCAUGCUCAGCAAUAAAUAUUCAACUAGCAUCUCAACCACUGCUAUAUUUGUCAUAUCCCAACCAGUCUGAACUGUCCUGGUAUUGGGCAAAAUAUCUCACUGGCACUAGACACAGCAGAUAUGGUGGGGUUCGUUUGUUAUGAAUUUCGCGCAAAGCUACACGAGGGCUAUCUGCGCUAGCCGUCCCUAAUUUAGCAGUGUAAGACUAGAGGGAAGGCAGCUAGUCAUCACCACCCACCGCCAAGGUGGGGUUCGUAUACCUUUGUUCAGGUGUUAUAAUUAGUAGUGUUUUUAAUUACAGCUGGGUUUUUUUUUUUAAGAAACUUAUGCAGAAUAGUCUUGUGAUUUUUUAUUUCUAAUUGAAAAUCCAUGUUAAUUUUCUUUUGGAAUGCACUAAAAACUUGUGGUUAUGAAAAUUUAUAGUUCUUGUUGCUCAUUGGUGUUUCAGCGAUAGUAUUUUGCUAUUUAUACAAGUUUUCCAGAUAUAGAAUGGCAUGAUAUUAUAUUCUUUCACUCAUAAAUUCUUAUUUGAUUGAAAUGUUGGACUUCCUCCUGAUUGUAUUCUGUAGUCUUUCGAGUUCACAAAAAAUGUUUCUCGGAACAGAUGAUUAAUGUUCUUCAUCCACUAUUUUACACCAACCUCAGCACAGCCAUCUCAGUAAAUCCCACAGUGGCACACUAGUAUAUGUAAAAACAAAUAGAAAUUUUUUUAUUGGUUAGCUUUUGAAAUGCCUCAAAUACAUUCUUGCUAAGAUUGUAAAAAAAUAAACAACACUUUAAAGGGUAGAAAUUAUAUUUAUGAUCAUUUUUACAUAAACUGUCUAUGUGUGCGUGACUUAUACACAAUUUAAUGUAGCCUGAAUAAAAUUGAAACUCUUGAAAUAAUCAUGAUCUCCAUUUUUCUAUCACUAUUGUGAAGUCCAUGAAGGGUCUUUUAUAUUGUAAAUCUUAACUCAAAAUAGUAUCAAACUCUAAAAUACUAACUGAUUAAUAACUAGCUGUCUUGAAACAUGCAUAAAAUGGGGUAUUUAUAAUGUAGUGUAAGCAGUGAUUUUUAUUCAAUAGCCAAAUAAUAUACAUGUAGUUCUUUGCCUUUCCCUUUAAAGCUCACACAUCGUAGCACUAUAUACAUAUAUAUCAUGAAGUACGCACUAAAGACAUAACAAAAAAGUGUUGGGCAAGAAAUUAUCUUACAUUGAAUUUAUAAACAUUACUCAAAUUACCUCUCAGUAUGUUUCUAUAUUUUGAUGAAACGUUUUUCAAAAUGACAGUAUGCAUGUACAAGAAUCCUGAGAAUUUCAUAUUAAAAUUUUUUCAUGCAAUACUGUAUGUACUCUUUCCUUCUAACUAAGAGAAUACAUGUUUCAGUAGUAUUUAUUCUCAGGCUUUGCUGUCUUAAUGGGUUUUUUUAAAGUAUCUUACACUUUUAUCAUGCAAAAAUGAAGAUAGUAUGAAUGAGAAUUGAUGUAUUUGAAACUUAAAUUAAUCUUUUAUCAUUUAACUUGUAUCUACUGUUAAGUAGUCAGAGGUCAUAUUAUUAAAGUUCUCUAACAACCUGCUCAACUGUUGCUAAAAUGUUGGUUUGAUAUCUUUGCAGCAAUCCAUGACUUCAAAAUGUUUUGUGAUGUUUUGUUAUUGUCAUGUCAUUAGUUCUCUGAACUCUUUUAAUGUAAGUAUAGAUAUUUGCAGUUAUAUGUGCAAUUUUUUUUUCGCUUUCUAGUCAGUAUAUAAUUGUCAAAAGUUUAAAACUAUAAUAUAACAAAAAUGUGUUUUUGAAAGCCUUUGUAUAGUGAAUGAGUGGAUGAACUAUUGACGAAAUACUUUUAACUUGUUAUUUAGGUUUUUAGGUAUAUUUUCCUUUCCAAAUUUAUUACACACAUAAACGAGAAUAAGUUUUACAGUAUCUUAAGUAAAAACCACCUAAUGAAUAUCUUCAAACUGAAAAUUGUUACUUAUUAUUCUACAUUAUCAUACAUCAAAGAUUGUGCAUCUAUACCUAUCUGUUUGGUGCAAAUUUUUCUUAGUCAUUGAACUAUUUUAAAUCAUGUAUGAUACUGAUGAUUGUAACCUUAAACAUCUCUUAGAGAUUUUACUCUGAAAUAAAUUUUAUUAAUCAAAUGUA
Long non-coding RNA from Limulus polyphemus (Atlantic horseshoe crab), 3855 nucleotides. RefSeq lists it as uncharacterized. The record is from RefSeq and is a predicted model, not a curated record. Lineage: Eukaryota; Metazoa; Arthropoda; Merostomata; Xiphosura; Limulidae. The transcript has 4 exons.